RNAcentral lists this long non-coding RNA (705 nucleotides) under Rattus norvegicus (Norway rat). RNAcentral's name for it is "long non-coding RNA NONRATT002554". Lineage: Eukaryota; Metazoa; Chordata; Mammalia; Rodentia; Muridae. The record is from RNAcentral.
ACCGUGCCACCCAGCUCCUGUUAAGUUUUCAUCUUAUUUAAAGAAGUCAUGUUUAAUUUAGUUGUGUGUGCUUUUUCCCUUAUUGCAUGUGCAAUAAGGAAAAAAUAAGGAUUAAGUCCAGAGCCUCCUGCAUGCACGCGGUGCCACUGAGCUUGCUCCUCAAGCCCUGAUGGAAUCUUGUUACAUGAGCUCUCAGUGCUUGGCUAUGGAGAUGCUUCUGUGUUACCUAGGCAACAGUCGCUGGCUGGUCCUUGGCUGUGCACUGUUCUUUAUGCGAGUGAAGCAUGGAGUGUUGUCUGUUCUGUCUUGGUUUUCUCCCUAGAGUGAAGCCCCACUCAGAGUCCAGCAGCCGUGCACCUCCUUUGCAUUCAACUCGGCCCUUUUUUCUUCCUUUUUAUGAUAAGGUCUUGUUGUCUAGCCCACUCUGGCCUGGAGCUUGUGAUCUUCCUGUCUUAGCCAACCUCCCACCCCCACCCCAUGCUGGGAUGACAGGUGAGCACCUCCUUAAUUGGAUUAAGAAGUUGAAAUUUCAGACUGAUAACUCAAAAACGUUGGGCCUUGAAGUGAGCAGUUUUUGUUCCUUUCCAAAAGUCAUGUGACGGAUGAGCUCGUGAAACUGGCAUCAGGAGUUGCUGUUAGCAGUGGAACCUUGUGUGAGGUGUGAGCUGCGGGUCUCUGUAAGCCCUGGAAACAACUGGGAAGAGU